GAUGAACGCUGGCGGCGUGCCUAAUACAUGCAAGUCGAGCGGUAAGGCUUUCACAGAUUAUUUAACCAGAUAAGUUCUUCGGAAAACUGUUUGCAGCGAUGAUUCCCCGGCUAGGGAAUCAGAGUUGAAUAAUGCGUGAAGGUACACGAGCGGCGGACGGCUGAGUAACACGUAGGAACGUACCCCAAAGUGAGGGAUAAGCACCGGAAACGGUGUCUAAUACCGCAUGUGAUCUUCGGAUUAAAGCUUCGGCGCUUUGGGAACGGCCUGCGCAUGAUUAGCUUGUUGGUGAGGUAAAAGCUCACCAAGGCGACGAUCAUUAGCUGGUCUGAGAGGAUGAUCAGCCAGACUGGGACUGAGAACGGCCCAGACUCCUACGGGAGGCAGCAGUAGGGAAUUUUCCACAAUGGACGAAAGUCUGAUGGAGCAACGCCGCGUUGCAAGGAUGAAGGGUUUCGGCUCGUAAACUGCUUUUAUCUGUGAAGAUUAUGA
Molecule: ribosomal RNA, 492 nt
Filed under: uncultured bacterium
Lineage: Bacteria
Description: bacterial SSU rRNA
Rfam family: Bacterial small subunit ribosomal RNA
Source: RNAcentral